This 440-nucleotide ribosomal RNA is filed under the name uncultured bacterium. RNAcentral's name for it is "partial 16S ribosomal RNA". It matches the Rfam family "Bacterial small subunit ribosomal RNA", at positions 338 to 795 of the family's 1533-position model. The record is from RNAcentral.
CCUACGGGAGGCAGCAGUGGGGAAUAUUGCACAAUGGGGGGAACCCUGAUGCAGCGACGCCGCGUGAGUGAAGAAGUAUUUCGGUAUGUAAAGCUCUAUCAGCAGGGAAGAAAAUGACGGUACCUGACUAAGAAGCCCCGGCUAACGACGGGCCAGCAGCCGCGGGAAUACGUAGGGGGCAAGCGUUAUCCGGAUUUACUGGGGGUAAAGGGAGCGUAGACGGCAGAGCAAGUCUGAAGUGAAAGCCCGCGGCCCAACUGCGGGACUGCUUUGGAAACUGCCCGGCGAGAGUGCUGGCGAGGUAAGCGGAAUUCCUAUUGUAGCGGUGAAAUGCGUAGAUAUUAGGAGGAACACCAGUGGCGACGGCGGCUUACCGGACCGUAACUGACGUUGCGGCUCGAACGCGUGGGGAGCAAACAGGAUUAGAUACCCGGGUAGUC